GAUGAAGAACGUAGCGAAAUGCGAUAAGUAAUGUGAAUUGCAGAAUUCAGUGAAUCAUCGAAUCUUUGAACGCACAUUGCACUCAUUAGUAUUCUAGUGAGUAUGCCUGUUCGAGCGUCAUUUCAACCCUUAAGCCUAGCUUAGUGUUGGGACUCUACCCUAACCGGUAGUUCCCCAAAAUCAGUUGGCGGAGUUCAGUCGGCUCUGAGUGUAGUAAUUUUCUCUCGCUUUAGAAGUCUUCUGGAUUACGGCCAGAAAGAGACGAGUCUCGCAUCUCGGUGCGUUUCUCAACUUUUUUUUUGCAAUGGUUGACCUCGGAUCAGGUAGGAAUACCCGCUGAACUUAAGCAUAUCAAUAAGCGGAGGA
This 366-nucleotide unclassified non-coding RNA is filed under the name soil metagenome. RNAcentral describes it as "partial contains 5.8S ribosomal RNA, internal transcribed spacer 2, and large subunit ribosomal RNA". The stretch from base 1 to 120 matches the Rfam family "5.8S ribosomal RNA", at positions 35 to 154 of the family's 154-position model. The record is from RNAcentral.